CCUACGGGAGGCUGCAGUGGGGAAUAUUGCACAAUGGGCGCGAGCCUGAUGCAGCCAUGCCGCAUGUGUGAAGAAGGCCUUCGGGUUGUAAAGCACUUUCAGCGGGGAGGAAGGCGGUGAGGUUAAUAACCUCAUCGAUUGACGUUACCCGCAGAAGAAGCACCGGCUAACUCCGUGCCAGCAGCCGCGGUAAUACGGAGGGUGCAAGCGUUAAUCGGAAUUACUGGGCGUAAAGCGCACGCAGGCGGUCUGUCAAGUCGGAUGUGAAAUCCCCGGGCUCAACCUGGGAACUGCAUUCGAAACUGGCAGGCUAGAGUCUUGUAGAGGGGGGUAGAAUUCCAGGUGUAGCGGUGAAAUGCGUAGAGAUCUGGAGGAAUACCGGUGGCGAAGGCGGCCCCCUGGACAAAGACUGACGCUCAGGUGCGAAAGCGUGGGGAGCAAACAGGAUUAGAUACCCGAGUAGUC
Molecule: ribosomal RNA, 465 nt
Filed under: uncultured Klebsiella sp.
Lineage: Bacteria; Pseudomonadati; Pseudomonadota; Gammaproteobacteria; Enterobacterales; Enterobacteriaceae
Description: bacterial SSU rRNA
Rfam family: Bacterial small subunit ribosomal RNA
Source: RNAcentral